AACGAACGCUGGCGGCAGGCCUAACACAUGCAAGUCGAGCGAGAUCUUCGGAUCUAGCGGCGGACGGGUGAGUAACGCGUGGGAAUAUGCCCUUUGGUACGGAAUAGCCUCGGGAAACUGGGAGUAAUACCGUAUGUGCCCUUCGGGGGAAAGAUUUAUCGCCAAAGGAUUAGCCCGCGUUGGAUUAGGUAGUUGGUGGGGUAAUGGCCUACCAAGCCUACGAUCCAUAGCUGGUUUGAGGGGAUGAUCAGCCACACUGGGACUGAGACACGGCCCAGACUCCUACGGGAGGCAGCAGUGGGGAAUCUUAGACAAUGGGGGAAACCCUGAUCUAGCCAUGCCGCGUGAUCGAUGAAGGCCUUAGGGUUGUAAAGAUCUUUCAGCUGGGAAGAUAAUGACGGUACCAGCAGAAGAAGCCCCGGCUAACUCCGUGCCAGCAGCCGCGGUAAUACGGAGGGGGCUAGCGUUGUUCGGAAUUACUGGGCGUAAAGCGCACGUAGGCGGAUUGGAAAGUUGGGGGUGAAAUCCCGGGGCUCAACCUCGGAACUGCCUCCAAAACUAUCAGUCUAGAGUUCGAGAGAGGUGAGUGGAAUUCCGAGUGUAGAGGUGAAAUUCGUAGAUAUUCGGAGGAACACCAGUGGCGAAGGCGGCUCACUGGCUCGAUACUGACGCUGAGGUGCGAAAGCGUGGGGAGCAAACA
RNAcentral lists this ribosomal RNA (700 nucleotides) under bacterium enrichment culture clone B2-60. Its description in RNAcentral is "bacterial SSU rRNA". It matches the Rfam family "Bacterial small subunit ribosomal RNA", at positions 28 to 774 of the family's 1533-position model. The record is from RNAcentral.